AUUGAACGCUGGCGGCAGGCCUAACACAUGCAAGUCGAGCGGAUGAAGGGAGCUUGCUCCUGGAUUCAGCGGCGGACGGGUGAGUAAUGCCUAGGAAUCUGCCUGGUAGUGGGGGAUAACGUCCGGACACGGGCGCUAAUACCGCAUACGUCCUGAGGGAGAAAGUGGGGGUUCUUCGGACCUCACGCUAUCAGAUGAGCCUAGGUCGGAUUAGCUAGUUGGUGGGGUAAAGGCCUACCAAGGCGACGAUCCGUAACUGGUCUGAGAGGAUGAUCAGUCACACUGGAACUUAGACACGGUCCAGACUCCUACGGGAGGCAGCAGUGGGGAAUAUUGGACAAUGGGCGAAAGCCUGAUCCAGCCAUGCCGCGUGUGUGAAGAAGGUCUUCGGAUUGUAAAGCACUUUAAGUUGGGAGGAAGGGCAGUAAGUUAAUACCUUGCUGUUUUGACGUUACCAACAGAAUAAGCACCGGCUAACUUCGUG
This 484-nucleotide ribosomal RNA is filed under the name uncultured bacterium. RNAcentral describes it as "partial 16S ribosomal RNA". It matches the Rfam family "Bacterial small subunit ribosomal RNA", at positions 30 to 507 of the family's 1533-position model. The record is from RNAcentral.